This 933-nucleotide long non-coding RNA is filed under the name Macaca nemestrina (pig-tailed macaque). RNAcentral's name for it is "lncRNA (ENSMNEG00000045862.1)". Lineage: Eukaryota; Metazoa; Chordata; Mammalia; Primates; Cercopithecidae. The record is from RNAcentral.
AUAUUUAUUAAUAUUAAUAAUUAAUAGACUCGUUCCUGAUAUCCACCGGAGAGAGGAUGAUAUUACCUUAAAUAUCACAACUGGUGUACACGACCGCAUUGAUAUUGCUUCGAAUAUCCACUUGGGAGAGGAGGAUAGGACACGCAACAUCGCAUGGAGGAGAAACACUCCUGGGCUACCCUUCUUAAUAUUCGGGGGGAAGAGGAUGAUAUGAUUCCCAAUACAGACGGUUGUACACCCUCUGAGGGUGUACACACUAGGGGUGUACACCCGUAUGUGAAAGGGUUCAAAAUUUUCAGAAGGGGAGAUAACAUUACUCGGAAUGUCGGAAACAGGCUGGUAACAUUUACAGCGUUGAGGAGAACACCUCAGAACCUGUGAGAAAUGGCCAAAGCGGCAGUCAGAGGAAAAUUUAGAGCCUUCGAUACAUUUACUAGUAAACAGAGAGGAUGAAAAACAGGUGAGUGAAGCAUUCAACCCAACAAACUACAAAAACAGCAGUUGAAUAAAAGAAAAACUAAAAGAAUGCCAGGUGCAGUGGCUCGAACCUAUAAUAUCAGCACUUUGGGUCGCUGAGGCAGGAGGAUCAUUUGGGCCCAGGAGUUUGAGACCAGCCUGGGCAACACAGUGAGACUCCAUCUCUAAAAAAAAAGAAAAAAAGAAAAAAGAAAAAAAUAAUUUUAGUUAGCUAGGUAUAGUGGCAUGUACUUGUGGUUCCAGUUACUUAGGAGGUUGAGGCAGGAGGAUUGCUUGAGACUGGGAGGUCGAGGCUUCAGUGAACCGUCUUUGCACCACUGUCCACUCUAGCCUGGGCAACAGAGUAAAACCCUGUCUGGAAAAAAAAAAUGCAGAAAAAAAAUAUGAAGGAAACAAAAACCAAGGUCUGGUUCUUUAAAAAGAUUAGUAUAGGCCGGGCACGGUGGCUCACACCUG